CGUGUAGGCGGUUUCUUAAGUCUGAUGUGAAAGCCCCGGGCUCAACCCAGGAAGUGCAUUGGAUACUGGGAGACUUGAAUACGGGAGAGGGCAGUGGAAUUCCUAGUGUAGGAGUGAAAUCCGUAGAUAUUAGGAGGAACACCGGUGGCGAAGGCGGCUGCCUGGACCGAUAUUGACGCUGAGACGCGAAAGCGUGGGGAGCAAACAGGAUUAGAUACCCUGGUAGUCCACGCCGUAAACGAUGAGAACUAGGUGUUGCGGGUAUUGACCCCUGCAGUGCCGCAGCUAACGCAUUAAGUUCUCCGCCUGGGAAGUACGGUCGCAAGACUAAA
Molecule: ribosomal RNA, 332 nt
Filed under: uncultured bacterium
Lineage: Bacteria
Description: bacterial SSU rRNA
Rfam family: Bacterial small subunit ribosomal RNA
Source: RNAcentral